RNAcentral lists this long non-coding RNA (225 nucleotides) under Homo sapiens (human). RNAcentral's name for it is "HSALNT0282789". Lineage: Eukaryota; Metazoa; Chordata; Mammalia; Primates; Hominidae. The record is from RNAcentral.
UGAAGAGUGGCCCCUUUCCCCUACCUUUUCUGCCGGCCAACCUCCGUUCUCAGCACCUCCGACGACCCGGAUGAAUACCCUGGUUUUUCUCGAGAUCAGUGUGGGGAUCUGCUAUUUGGCAUCUUCUUACCUGAGCAAGAUAAUUCCUGUCCGAGAGAGAAAGAUCAUUUGGAAUACCCAGCUUCUUUUCCAUAGCAAAUUACUGCUGGCUCUUUAAUACACUAC